GAUUAGAGAUCGAGGGAGGAUCCAACCAUCCAAAUCGGCGGACCUCCGGACAACCUUCAAGUUCGGCACGAUGGCGAUGCAUGUCCGCCCAACCUUCAAAUCGGCGGACAGCGACGCAAGGCUGACCAACCUUUAAGUCCGGCACGACGGAGACGCACGGCGGACCGUCUAUAACUUGCAAAUCCUUGUUCGGUAACCAUUAAUACCAAACCUACCCGCAAUCUGGUUGCCGGAGGAUCACGGUACUCUCCAGUGGUUCCGUUGCGUAGCGCCACCCGUUCAGAUCCACCAUUUACGUCGAAGAUACAACAUUUUUAUGCUUUUAUUGAAAGAUUUUGAAAUGGGUUCUAUUUUUGUUUGUUUAUUUAAUAACUGAUAGGGUUUUUUUCAAAUCAUAUUUUUUUUUCUAAUCAAAUUAAUAAUCAUCAGGUUGCAUUUUUAGUUUGUUGAAAAAAUUGUAUUAAUGGUGAGUUUGAUCUCCUGUACAAUGUUUUGAUAAAUUCAUGAAAAAGCUUCAUCUUUCUUUGUUGAUGAUGUGUUUGGAGUUUUUCAAACGGGUUUGAUCUGAAACCUAUGGACUUUGAAACCGCAGUUGCGGUUGGAAAAGAAAACAAUAUGAUCUUGAACGGAUCUGAUUAAGUACGUCGGAGAAAAAAAGGAUAAAGAUUUGUGGGUGUGAAGGAUGCGUAUUUGUAGGUGUGACGGUGGACGGUUGUUGGUGGUUAUGAUAGAGGAACGCGACCGGCGAAUUUUUACGUAAAGGGUGUAUUGAAAAGGUGCCAACAAAUUGACUGGACCAAUACAGAAGUGCCACGUGGACGAAGCUUUAAAAUCAAAUAGGUUCCUCGAGUGAAACGUUACGACGGUGUGUUUAAAGGCAACCGAAGUUGGUUUUUGUAUAGAUAU
RNAcentral lists this long non-coding RNA (906 nucleotides) under Helianthus annuus (common sunflower). RNAcentral's name for it is "hypothetical non coding rna". The record is from RNAcentral. Lineage: Eukaryota; Viridiplantae; Streptophyta; Magnoliopsida; Asterales; Asteraceae.